This 253-nucleotide ribosomal RNA is filed under the name uncultured bacterium. RNAcentral's name for it is "partial 16S ribosomal RNA". It matches the Rfam family "Bacterial small subunit ribosomal RNA", at positions 524 to 776 of the family's 1533-position model. The record is from RNAcentral.
UACGUAGGGGGCAAGCGUUGUCCGGAUUUAUUGGGCGUAAAGAGCGUGUAGGCGGCCAUGCAGGUCCGUUGUGAAAACUCGAGGCUCAACCUCGAGACGCCGGUGGAAACCGUGUGGCUAGAGUCCGGAAGAGGAGAGUGGAAUUCCUGGUGUAGCGGUGAAAUGCGCAGAUAUCAGGAAGAACACCCGUGGCGAAGGCGGCUCUCUGGGACGUGACUGACGCUGAGACGCGAAAGCCAGGGGAGCAAACGGG